RNAcentral lists this non-coding RNA (21 nucleotides) under Caenorhabditis elegans. The record is from RNAcentral. Lineage: Eukaryota; Metazoa; Nematoda; Chromadorea; Rhabditida; Rhabditidae.
UUUCUGAAAGUUUAGACUCUA